UACAGAGGUCUCAAGCGUUGUUCGGAUUCAUUGGGCGUAAAGGGUGCGUAGGCGGCGCGGUAAGUCGGGUGUGAAAUCUCGGAGCUUAACUCCGAAACUGCAUUCGAUACUGCCGUGCUUGAGGACUGGAGAGGAGACUGGAAUUCACGGUGUAGCAGUGAAAUGCGUAGAUAUCGUGAGGAAGACCAGUGGCGAAGGCGGGUCUCUGGACAGUUCCUGACGCUGAGGCACGAAGGCCAGGGGAGCAAACGGG
RNAcentral lists this ribosomal RNA (253 nucleotides) under uncultured bacterium. RNAcentral describes it as "partial 16S ribosomal RNA". It matches the Rfam family "Bacterial small subunit ribosomal RNA", at positions 524 to 776 of the family's 1533-position model. The record is from RNAcentral.